CUGUUGACCAUGAGAUAUCACUUCUAAAAACUAGACGUAUUGAGUAUUAGAGGAAUAACACGUUAGUACCUCAGUCAGACCUAGAAAACGCUGAGCAGAAUGCAGCGAUAGCCCCUGUACAGAUGCAUAAUUCCUUUGUUUGAUUUGGGGGUCUGAGAUGAAUAGUGGAGCAGCAGCGGUUGUGGACUCACCUGCGGCGGUCUUGUGUGGGCGUGGGCCGUCCUGCAG
Molecule: long non-coding RNA, 228 nt
Organism: Schistocerca cancellata (South American locust)
Lineage: Eukaryota; Metazoa; Arthropoda; Insecta; Orthoptera; Acrididae
Exons: 3
Source: RefSeq, a predicted model, not a curated record